This 253-nucleotide ribosomal RNA is filed under the name uncultured bacterium. RNAcentral's name for it is "partial 16S ribosomal RNA". It matches the Rfam family "Bacterial small subunit ribosomal RNA", at positions 524 to 776 of the family's 1533-position model. The record is from RNAcentral.
UACAGAGGUCUCAAGCGUUGUUCGGAUUCAUUGGGCGUAAAGGGUGCGUAGGCGGCGUGGUAAGUCGGAUGUGAAAUCUCGGAGCUUAACUCCGAAACUGCAUUAGAUACUGCCGUGCUUGAGGACUGGAGAGGAGACUGGAAUUUACGGUGUAGCGGUGAAAUGCGUAGAUAUCGUAAGGAAGACCAGUGGCGAAGGCGGGUCUCUGGACAGUUCCUGACGCUGAGGCACGAAGGCCAGGGGAGCAAACGGG